GACGAACGCUGGCGGCGUGCCUAACACAUGUAAGUCGAGCGGGGUUAACCGCAAGGUUAACCUAGCGGCGGACGGGUGAGUAACGCGUGGAUAACCUGCCUCAAGGGUCGGGAUAACAGCUCGAAAGGGCUGCUAAUACCGGAUGUGAUGCACUUUUCGCAUGGAGGGUGCAUGAAAGGGGAAACCCGCCUUGAGAUGGAUCCGCGUCCCAUCAGCUAGUUGGUAGGGUAAAGGCCUACCAAGGCGACGACGGGUAGCCGGCCUGAGAGGGUGACCGGCCACACUGGGACUGAGAUACGGCCCAGACUCCUACGGGGGGCAGCAGUGGGGAAUAUUGCACAAUGGGCGAAAGCCUGAUGCAGCGACGCCGCGUGAGCGAAGAAGGCCUUCGGUUGUAAAGCUCUGUCUGGAGGGACGAAAGAAAUAGACGGUACCUCCGGAGGAAGCCACGGCUAACUACGUG
Molecule: ribosomal RNA, 463 nt
Filed under: uncultured bacterium
Lineage: Bacteria
Description: bacterial SSU rRNA
Rfam family: Bacterial small subunit ribosomal RNA
Source: RNAcentral